CUGCUGUUUUUGCUCUUCCUGCUCCGUAUUGCGCUACUGCCCCUUCUGGGGCUUGGCCCCGAAUUGCUGCUUGCAGCUAUAUUUUUAAAUGUGUGACUUUCUCUGAAUUUACAAAUCUUGGUAAUAUUAGGAUAUGUAUGCGCACAAUUUACAUAAAGUGUUCUAUAUAUUAUAAAAUAAAAUAAAAAAAAAUUAAAAAUAAAAAUAAAUAUCGGAGUGGUUUUAUCUUUCAUAUCAUCUCUAAAGCUGCAAAGUUAUUUAUCUGUACUUUGUUGGUUAACAUGAAUGACACAGACAGCAGCAAGCCUGCUGUAAGUUAAGAUCAAAUGCGUGGAAACCCUAUAAUGAUACACAUCAGUUCUUCUUCACGUUACCUAAGCCAUAUGCACUGUGUGUACAAGGACAUUUUGACAUAAAUCUGCAUGUAUGUGUCUAUCCAGGCAAAAAUAGAUGCAUAGGUAAAGCAAUUCAUCUUUAACGUGUGCGUACACAGAAUAGCGCGUAAACUGACAGGACCUAAACAUGUGCUCCUAUGCUAUCCUUGCGUCAUGACUUGUGGAUGCGCACAUUGCGUCAUAUCUAAAGUGAUAUAUUGUGCUGCCUACUACACAUCGAACAUCAGAGUUACUGUGCUCCGUAGGCUACUUCGCACCCGCCUGGUCAUAAGCUUUUUGUAACCCAUGUUGAAAUAUGACAUAAAUAAGAAUAAAUAGUUUAAAAGCUGAAAUUAAGUGAUUCAUUUAAUGUAAAUUAAUUCAUCAGGGUUAAUUAAAAAUGUUAAUACAACAAUUUAAUGUUUAAGAUUAAAAGUAUGCCGACAGAAAAUUCAUGUCACUGCCCCUUUAAGGGAUUAGUGACGUUAGAUGCAGCACUUAAGUGACGCUGCAGCAGAGACCUGAGGGAGAGAACGAGCUGUGUUUAAUAAGUAGAGAAAAGAGUGAAAAAGUUGAUUUUGCUGUUGAAAAACAUAACUUACCUGGUCAGGAACUGACAGGGAUUUUAUGAGAACUAAGCCACACCGGUUUUGGUCAGGUUUUUUUGCUUGGUUUGAGGCUCGGUCGGAGCGAGGAUUGGUCUUCGGUGUGCGGGUGUGCACAUGCACGGACGGGAUUCAGGAUGGCGAGCCAGACCCAGACUUUCAACUCAUCUUUUCCAUCGCAUCAGUGAGGAAAUCUCCUGCGUACGGUGACUCGCUGCCAGAGUGGUAGGAGUAUCAGGAAUUGUUUUUGAACUGAAUUGGAAACCGAUUGAAUUAUUAUUUUUGGACUGAAUCGAACUGAAACUACAUUGAACUGAAUAAUUGAACUCACAUUUGGACUUGAACUUGUGUUUAAGGUGUUAUACUUUUAUUUUCAUAUUGAGUUCAUAUGUUUGAACGUGAUUGGAAAUGCUUGUGGUCCACUUUGAUUUGGUUGUAAAUUGAAGGUAUUUUCUUACCUGUAAAAGAAAGAGAAAAGAGUUAACUCAGGAAGAAAAAUAGGAAUUCCAAAAUAGGUGCAACCUAGGAAAAGACCGGUCUAACUUAGAUUAGCCUGAUUAAAAUAACUUAGGUGAACUAGAGAACAAAAAGAAAGUGAAAUACCUUUUCAUUUAUUAUACUUACCUCGAUAUUACGAACCUGCAGGGUAUUUUUUUGGUUUUGUUUUGCAACUGUAUAUUCCAUGUGUGUUUUGCAUUCAGUAAAUUGCCGGCCUUUUGUAUUUA
Long non-coding RNA from Megalobrama amblycephala (Wuchang bream), 1704 nucleotides. RefSeq lists it as uncharacterized. The record is from RefSeq and is a predicted model, not a curated record. Lineage: Eukaryota; Metazoa; Chordata; Actinopteri; Cypriniformes; Xenocyprididae. The transcript is spliced from 2 exons.